RNAcentral lists this ribosomal RNA (506 nucleotides) under uncultured bacterium. RNAcentral describes it as "partial 16S ribosomal RNA". It matches the Rfam family "Bacterial small subunit ribosomal RNA", at positions 29 to 523 of the family's 1533-position model. The record is from RNAcentral.
AGUGAACGCUGGCGGUAGGCCUAACACAUGCAAGUCGAACGGCAGCACAGGAGAGCUUGCUCUCUGGGUGGCGAGUGGCGGACGGGUGAGGAAUACAUCGGAAUCUACCUUUUCGUGGGGGAUAACGUAGGGAAACUUACGCUAAUACCGCAUACGACCUACGGGUGAAAGUGGGGGACCGCAAGGCCUCACGCGAUUAGAUGAGCCGAUGUCCGAUUAGCUAGUUGGCGGGGUAAUGGCCCACCAAGGCGACGAUCGGUAGCUGGUCUGGGAGGAUGAUCAGCCACACUGGAACUGAGACACGGUCCAGACUCCUACGGGAGGCAGCAGUGGGGAAUAUUGGACAAUGGGCGCAAGCCUUAUCCAGCCAUACCGCGUGGGUGAAGAAGGCCUUCGGGUUGUAAAGCCCUUUUGUUGGGAAAGAAAUCCUAUCGGUUAAUAACCGGUGGGGAUGACGGUACCCAAAGAAUAAGCACCGGCUAACUUCGUGCCAGCAGCCGCCGUAA